RNAcentral lists this ribosomal RNA (2923 nucleotides) under Klebsiella pneumoniae. Its description in RNAcentral is "bacterial LSU rRNA". It matches the Rfam family "Bacterial large subunit ribosomal RNA". The record is from RNAcentral. Lineage: Bacteria; Pseudomonadati; Pseudomonadota; Gammaproteobacteria; Enterobacterales; Enterobacteriaceae.
GGGUUGUGAGGUUAAGCGACUAAGCGUACACGGUGGAUGCCCUGGCAGUCAGAGGCGAUGAAGGACGUGCUAAUCUGCGAAAAGCGUCGGUAAGGUGAUAUGAACCGUUACAGCCGGCGAUGUCCGAAUGGGGAAACCCAGUGCAAUUCGUUGCACUAUCGUUAACUGAAUACAUAGGUUAACGAGGCGAACCGGGGGAACUGAAACAUCUAAGUACCCCGAGGAAAAGAAAUCAACCGAGAUUCCCCCAGUAGCGGCGAGCGAACGGGGAGCAGCCCAGAGUCUGAAUCAGCUUGUGUGUUAGUGGAACGGUCUGGAAAGUCCGACGGUACAGGGUGAUAGUCCCGUACACCAAAAUGCACAGGUUGUGAACUCGAAGAGUAGGGCGGGACACGUGGUAUCCUGUCUGAAUAUGGGGGGACCAUCCUCCAAGGCUAAAUACUCCUGACUGACCGAUAGUGAACCAGUACCGUGAGGGAAAGGCGAAAAGAACCCCGGCGAGGGGAGUGAAAAAGAACCUGAAACCGUGUACGUACAAGCAGUGGGAGCACCUUCGGGUGUGACUGCGUACCUUUUGUAUAAUGGGUCAGCGACUUAUAUUCUGUAGCAAGGUUAACCGUAUAGGGGAGCCGCAGGGAAACCGAGUCUUAACUGGGCGUUAAGUUGCAGGGUAUAGACCCGAAACCCGGUGAUCUAGCCAUGGGCAGGUUGAAGGUUGGGUAACACUAACUGGAGGACCGAACCGACUAAUGUUGAAAAAUUAGCGGAUGACUUGUGGCUGGGGGUGAAAGGCCAAUCAAACCGGGAGAUAGCUGGUUCUCCCCGAAAGCUAUUUAGGUAGCGCCUCGUGAAUUCAUCUUCGGGGGUAGAGCACUGUUUCGGCUAGGGGGUCAUCCCGACUUACCAACCCGAUGCAAACUACGAAUACCGAAGAAUGUUAUCACGGGAGACACACGGCGGGUGCUAACGUCCGUCGUGAAGAGGGAAACAACCCAGACCGCCAGCUAAGGUCCCAAAGUCAUGGUUAAGUGGGAAACGAUGUGGGAAGGCACAGACAGCCAGGAUGUUGGCUUAGAAGCAGCCAUCAUUUAAAGAAAGCGUAAUAGCUCACUGGUCGAGUCGGCCUGCGCGGAAGAUGUAACGGGGCUAAACCAUGCACCGAAGCUGCGGCAGCGACACUAUGUGUUGUUGGGUAGGGGAGCGUUCUGUAAGCCUGCGAAGGUGACCUGUGAGGGUUGCUGGAGGUAUCAGAAGUGCGAAUGCUGACAUAAGUAACGAUAAAGCGGGUGAAAAGCCCGCUCGCCGGAAGACCAAGGGUUCCUGUCCAACGUUAAUCGGGGCAGGGUGAGUCGACCCCUAAGGCGAGGCCGAAAGGCGUAGUCGAUGGGAAACAGGUUAAUAUUCCUGUACUUGGUGUUACUGCGAAGGGGGGACGGAGAAGGCUAUGUUAGCCGGGCGACGGUUGUCCCGGUUUAAGCAUGUAGGCUGGUUAUCCAGGCAAAUCCGGAUAAUCAAGGCUGAGGUGUGAUGACGAGGCACUACGGUGCUGAAGUAACAAAUGCCCUGCUUCCAGGAAAAGCCUCUAAGCAUCAGGUAACAUCAAAUCGUACCCCAAACCGACACAGGUGGUCAGGUAGAGAAUACCAAGGCGCUUGAGAGAACUCGGGUGAAGGAACUAGGCAAAAUGGUGCCGUAACUUCGGGAGAAGGCACGCUGGUGUGUAGGUGAAGUCCCUGCGGAUGGAGCUGAGACCAGUCGAAGAUACCAGCUGGCUGCAACUGUUUAUUAAAAACACAGCACUGUGCAAACACGAAAGUGGACGUAUACGGUGUGACGCCUGCCCGGUGCCGGAAGGUUAAUUGAUGGGGUUAUCCGUAAGGAGAAGCUCUUGAUCGAAGCCCCGGUAAACGGCGGCCGUAACUAUAACGGUCCUAAGGUAGCGAAAUUCCUUGUCGGGUAAGUUCCGACCUGCACGAAUGGCGUAAUGAUGGCCAGGCUGUCUCCACCCGAGACUCAGUGAAAUUGAACUCGCUGUGAAGAUGCAGUGUACCCGCGGCAAGACGGAAAGACCCCGUGAACCUUUACUAUAGCUUGACACUGAACAUUGAGCCUUGAUGUGUAGGAUAGGUGGGAGGCUUUGAAGCGUGGACGCCAGUCUGCGUGGAGCCAACCUUGAAAUACCACCCUUUAAUGUUUGAUGUUCUAACGUUGGCCCCUGACCGGGGUUGCGGACAGUGUCUGGUGGGUAGUUUGACUGGGGCGGUCUCCUCCCAAAGCGUAACGGAGGAGCACGAAGGUUAGCUAAUCCUGGUCGGACAUCAGGAGGUUAGUGCAAUGGCAUAAGCUAGCUUGACUGCGAGCGUGACGGCGCGAGCAGGUGCGAAAGCAGGUCAUAGUGAUCCGGUGGUUCUGAAUGGAAGGGCCAUCGCUCAACGGAUAAAAGGUACUCCGGGGAUAACAGGCUGAUACCGCCCAAGAGUUCAUAUCGACGGCGGUGUUUGGCACCUCGAUGUCGGCUCAUCACAUCCUGGGGCUGAAGUAGGUCCCAAGGGUAUGGCUGUUCGCCAUUUAAAGUGGUACGCGAGCUGGGUUUAGAACGUCGUGAGACAGUUCGGUCCCUAUCUGCCGUGGGCGCUGGAGAAUUGAGGGGGGCUGCUCCUAGUACGAGAGGACCGGAGUGGACGCAUCACUGGUGUUCGGGUUGUCAUGCCAAUGGCACUGCCCGGUAGCUAAAUGCGGAAGAGAUAAGUGCUGAAAGCAUCUAAGCACGAAACUUGCCCCGAGAUGAGUUCUCCCUGAGACUUUAAGUCUCCUGAAGGAACGUUAAAGACGAUGACGUUGAUAGGCCGGGUGUGUAAGCGCAGCGAUGCGUUGAGCUAACCGGUACUAAUGAACCGUGAGGCUUAACCUUACAACGCCGAAG